This 207-nucleotide ribosomal RNA is filed under the name uncultured bacterium. RNAcentral's name for it is "partial 16S ribosomal RNA". It matches the Rfam family "Bacterial small subunit ribosomal RNA", at positions 568 to 774 of the family's 1533-position model. The record is from RNAcentral.
UGCGUAGGCGGCUUGGUAAGUCAGAUGUGAAAGCUCAGGGCUCAACCCUGAAAUUGCAUCCGAUACUGCCAGGCUAGAGGACUGGAGAGGUGUCUAGAAUUCUCGGUGUAGCAGUGAAAUGCGUAGAUAUCGAGAGGAAUACCAAUGGCGAAGGCAGGACACGUGGACAGUAUCUGACGCUGAGGCACGAGGCUAGGGUAGCGAACG